Molecule: long non-coding RNA, 445 nt
Filed under: Geospiza fortis (medium ground-finch)
Lineage: Eukaryota; Metazoa; Chordata; Aves; Passeriformes; Thraupidae
Description: lncRNA (ENSGFOG00000006563.1)
Source: RNAcentral
AGAGCUUGGAGCGGAGGAGGCCCGGCAGCGCCUGAAGGAGCAGUCCAUCUUUGGGGACCAGCAAGAUGAGGACGACAGGCAGCAGUUUAGGAAAUCGGAGUCAGAGGUGGAGGAGGCUGCUGCCAUCAUUGCUCAGCGGCCUGACAACCCCCGGGACUUCUUCAAGCAGCAGGAGCGGGUGGCAUCGGGCAGCAGUGAUGCUGUGUCACCAGGCAGCCACAGGACAGAGUCCCCCAGCCCCAGCGCACAGGAGCCCGGGCCGGCCACGCCCGAGCAGCACUGGCCCUUCCCGGGGCCCGAGGACAAGGCCAUCGAGCCCCCCGGGGAUGAGCCCAGCCCCAGACCAGUGUGGACAGAGGGGGGUGAUGCCCUGGGGGACCUGGUGACCCUGGAGCCCACCGAGCCCUCCCUGCCACCCGUGGCUGACGAGCCCCAAACUGAGGCA